AAUGGAAAUCCACAGGGGUCUAGCUCAUCGAGGGCAGAGUUGGGACCACGUCUGGGGCCCCCUGACCCAUGGCUGUGUGCUUCUAUCUCCUCCAGAUGGCCCAAUGGAGGAGUCCAAACCAAAGCCCAGGUCGUUCAUGCCCAACUUGGUGCCUCCCAAGAUCCCCGAUGGAGAGAGAGUGGACUUUGAUGACAUCCACCGGAAGCGCAUGGAGAAGGACCUGAAUGAGUUGCAGGCGCUGAUCGAGGCUCACUUUGAGAACAGGAAGAAAGAGGAGGAGGAGCUCGUUUCUCUCAAAGACAGGAUCGAGAGACGCCGGGCAGAGCGGGCCGAGCAGCAGCGCAUCCGGAAUGAGCGGGAGAAGGAGCGGCAGAACCGCCUGGCUGAAGAGAGGGCUCGACGAGAGGAGGAGGAGAACAGGAGGAAGGCUGAGGAUGAGGCCCGGAAGAAGAAGGCUUUGUCCAACAUGAUGCAUUUUGGGGGUUACAUCCAGAAGCAGGCCCAGACAGAGCGGAAAAGUGGGAAGAGGCAGACUGAGCGGGAAAAGAAGAAGAAGAUUCUGGCCGAGAGGAGGAAGGUGCUGGCCAUCGACCACCUGAAUGAAGAUCAGCUGAGGGAGAAGGCCAAGGAGCUGUGGCAGAGCAUCUAUAACUUGGAGGCAGAGAAGUUCGACCUGCAGGAGAAGUUCAAGCAGCAGAAAUAUGAGGUGGGCCGCCAUGCUGUCCCCGCCCAGCAUCUCCAUCUCACACUCCUCCUGGUUCACUGGGUCCCGUAAUACUGCCGCAGGUCCCUGGGUCCCUGUCCCUAUUCCCCAACAGCCCCCUUCAGCUCCUGCAUCUGCCCCUGCUGCCUGGCUUUCAGCAGUGUUCCAUGUCCACCGCAUUGACGACUGCUUGCUGGAAGUGUCUGAGAGCUCGCUGGGGCUGAGCAGAGACACUUUCCUGGUGUUCCAACCCUGGGGGUCUCCAACACGUCGAGGCAGCAGCUCAGUGAUCUGAGCUGGUUACAAGGACCAGGAUGCACCAAGCCAGGACCCCCAGUGGAAGGGAAGGGCUGCCAACAGAGAGGUGCUUCUCCCCACAUACACCCAAGGCCCUGGUGUGGGCACAAUUAGGCUGAGCCUCAAGCCCACAGUCUUUUGGGGUCCUAUGUGCACUA
RNAcentral lists this small RNA (1158 nucleotides) under Pan troglodytes (chimpanzee). RNAcentral describes it as "retained intron". The record is from RNAcentral. Lineage: Eukaryota; Metazoa; Chordata; Mammalia; Primates; Hominidae.